This 765-nucleotide ribosomal RNA is filed under the name uncultured bacterium. RNAcentral describes it as "bacterial SSU rRNA". It matches the Rfam family "Bacterial small subunit ribosomal RNA", at positions 615 to 1381 of the family's 1533-position model. The record is from RNAcentral.
UGGGAACUGCGUUNUGAACUGGGUGACUAGAGUGUGUCAGAGGGAGGUAGAAUUCCACGUGUAGCAGUGAAAUGCGUAGAGAUGUGGAGGAAUACCGAUGGCGAAGGCAGCCUCCUGGGAUAACACUGACGUUCAUGCCCGAAAGCGUGGGUAGCAAACAGGAUUAGAUACCCUGGUAGUCCACGCCCUAAACGAUGUCGAUUAGCUGUUGGGCAGCAUGACUGCUUAGUAGCGAAGCUAACGCGUGAAAUCGACCGCCUGGGGAGUACGGUCGCAAGAUUAAAACUCAAAGGAAUUGACGGGGACCCGCACAAGCGGUGGAUGAUGUGGAUUAAUUCGAUGCAACGCGAAGAACCUUACCUGGUCUUGACAUGUACGGAACCCUCCAGAGACGGAGGGGUGCCUUCGGGAGCCGUAACACAGGUGCUGCAUGGCUGUCGUCAGCUCGUGUCGUGAGAUGUUGGGUUAANUCCCGCAACGAGCGCAACCCUUGUCAUUAGUUGCCAUCAUUAAGUUGGGCACUCUAAUGAGACUGCCGGUGACAAGCCGGAGGAAGGUGGGGAUGACGUCAAGUCCUCAUGGCCCUUAUGACCAGGGCUUCACACGUCAUACAAUGGUCGGUACAGAGGUUAGCCAAGCCGCGAGGUGGAGCCAAUCUCACAAAACCGAUCGUAGUCCGGAUUGCACUCUGCAACUCGAGUGCAUAAAGUCGGAAUCGCUAGUAAUCGCAGGUCAGCAUACUGCGGUGAAUACGUUCCCGGGUCU